Molecule: long non-coding RNA, 1680 nt
Organism: Cynoglossus semilaevis (tongue sole)
Lineage: Eukaryota; Metazoa; Chordata; Actinopteri; Pleuronectiformes; Cynoglossidae
Exons: 7
Source: RefSeq, a predicted model, not a curated record
UGCCUAAGUAAGAAAAGAAACAUGUCAAGUUUUUUUGUCACCUGAAAUGAAACUUUUGGACAGCAUUUACAGAGUGUUGUGAACUGUUUACAUGACAUUGGGGCUGGAAAGAGAAAAUACUACGCAGUGAAUUACCUACGAAGCCAUCUUUAAACCAGACAUUGGGGCUGGAAAGAGAAAAUACUACGCAGUGAAUUACCUACGAAGCCAUCUUUAAACUGGACAUUGGGGCUGGAAAGAGAAAAUACUACGCAGUGAAUUACCUACGAAGCCAUCUUUAAACUGAUCAUGGUCAAAGUAAUGGAGAUGUACCAGCCGAGUGCAGUUGUUCUUCAGUGUGGAGCCAGACUGCUUCAACCUCACUAUUCAAGAAGUGAAAGAAGAGAAGGAGAAGAUAGAGACAUCAGGGCCAAAAGAAGAGGUUUGACCAAGUUGUUCCACUUCUGAAGAUGGGACCUUUGUUGAAUCCUGUGAGCACAUGUGGUUGAUAGAAGUUGUGUUGUGGUGAGUCCACUGGAAGGUACCAACCGCCCUAACCGGGAUUCGAACUUGCCCAGGAGGUGAACCCUGGGGUUCCACACCAAUGACAGAGACAUUGCCUCUGGGCCAAAGCGCCACCGUCCAUCUUUACCUGAAGGGUUAAUCCUUGUAACACUUGCUUAGACCGUAUGUCUUUGUGUCUGUGCGUGUGCAUGUUCCUGUACUGCAUGACUUGUACCAACUUUUCAGAUUUUUUUCAGUAUUCAUUAAUACUGAUUCUGGGACAAGAUAAAAAUCAUUGCAAGGAUAAAUGGUGUGUACACAAAUGUGAAGGACCGCACAAGGGUUAAAAGAAAGCUAAGAGUUACUGUUGUAAUUUGACAUGUAUUGUUUUUAAAUGUGUAUCUAUGGACUUUGUGAUUGAAUGCAUGUUUUGUAAAUGUGAAGUGUUUUGCUAAUAGAUCAAAAAGUUGUUGCUGUUCUGUUUGUUGUGGUUGGUUUUUAACUUGGCUUACUUUUUACUACGUAGUUCUUACACUUACAAAUAAGUAAAAAACGAAUACAUUUUAAAAAAAAAAUUUUUUUCUUUACGCUUACUCUUGACUUUGGCAAUGAGAAAUCCCAUUCAUAUUUUCUAUUUUUUGCUCAAUUUCUGGAAAUUAAUGCAGAGCACACAAUAUUCCAACAACUUUCUUUAUUCUGGAAGGUUAAAACAAUCAAAUACAGAUCACAAUGAAAGUACAAUGGCAAAAAAAAAAAGUUUUUUUUUUCUCUAAAAAAAAGUGACUGUUGGGUAUCUCUCAAUGUACAAGUGCAAAGGCCCAAACGUUUUAGUAAAAUACUCACAAGUCUAGCAAACAAGUGAUCUGCUUAAAUUAAAUAAAGUUGCUGUGUACAUCUGCAUUGCAACACAUCUGUUAACUAAAGGCCAAAACAGUGAGUGUUAAGUAUCUGUCAAUUAAAGUGAAAAGGCCAAAAAGUGACUCUUUCAGUAAAAUACUCAAUUCCUGCUAACAAUUCCAUAUUCCAUAACAAUUAAUGGAAUUACACAAUCAAAAGCUGUCUGGGUAUAUUCUCAGUCAUUUAAUCCAAAAAUAGUUACGUCGAAGGCAUCUGGACAAAGUGUUAUUUCGCCUCUUAAGGUCUUCAAAAAAAAAAAAACGACUUUGUCCAAUUGCUCUCGAUGUAACUAUUUUUGGA